AAGCGUCGGUAAGGUGAUAUGAACCGUUAUAACCGGCGAUUUCCGAAUGGGGAAACCCAGUGUGUUUCGACACACUAUCAUUAACUGAAUCCAUAGGUUAAUGAGGCGAACCGGGGGAACUGAAACAUCUAAGUACCCCGAGGAAAAGAAAUCAACCGAGAUUCCCCCAGUAGCGGCGAGCGAACGGGGAGCAGCCCAGAGCCUGAAUCAGUGUGUGUGUUAGUGGAAGCGUCUGGAAAGGCGCGCGAUACAGGGUGACAGCCCCGUACACAAAAAUGCACAUGCUGUGAGCUCGAUGAGUAGGGCGGGACACGUGGUAUCCUGUCUGAAUAUGGGGGGACCAUCCUCCAAGGCUAAAUACUCCUGACUGACCGAUAGUGAACCAGUACCGUGAGGGAAAGGCGAAAAGAACCCCGGCGAGGGGAGUGAAAAAGAACCUGAAACCGUGUACGUACAAGCAGUGGGAGCACGCUUAGGCGUGUGACUGCGUACCUUUUGUAUAAUGGGUCAGCGACUUAUAUUCUGUAGCAAGGUUAACCGAAUAGGGGAGCCGAAGGGAAACCGAGUCUUAACUGGGCGUUAAGUUGCAGGGUAUAGACCCGAAACCCGGUGAUCUAGCCAUGGGCAGGUUGAAGGUUGGGUAACACUAACUGGAGGACCGAACCGACUAAUGUUGAAAAAUUAGCGGAUGACUUGUGGCUGGGGGUGAAAGGCCAAUCAAACCGGGAGAUAGCUGGUUCUCCCCGAAAGCUAUUUAGGUAGCGCCUCGUGAAUUCAUCUCCGGGGGUAGAGCACUGUUUCGGCAAGGGGGUCAUCCCGACUUACCAACCCGAUGCAAACUGCGAAUACCGGAGAAUGUUAUCACGGGAGACACACGGCGGGUGCUAACGUCCGUCGUGAAGAGGGAAACAACCCAGACCGCCAGCUAAGGUCCCAAAGUCAUGGUUAAGUGGGAAACGAUGUGGGAAGGCCCAGACAGCCAGGAUGUUGGCUUAGAAGCAGCCAUCAUUUAAAGAAAGCGUAAUAGCUCACUGGUCGAGUCGGCCUGCGCGGAAGAUGUAACGGGGCUAAACCAUG
RNAcentral lists this ribosomal RNA (1077 nucleotides) under Escherichia coli. Its description in RNAcentral is "partial 23S ribosomal RNA". It matches the Rfam family "Bacterial large subunit ribosomal RNA", at positions 73 to 1191 of the family's 2925-position model. Lineage: Bacteria; Pseudomonadati; Pseudomonadota; Gammaproteobacteria; Enterobacterales; Enterobacteriaceae. The record is from RNAcentral.